RNAcentral lists this unclassified non-coding RNA (2204 nucleotides) under Camponotus floridanus (Florida carpenter ant). RNAcentral's name for it is "peroxisomal targeting signal 1 receptor, transcript variant X4". The record is from RNAcentral. Lineage: Eukaryota; Metazoa; Arthropoda; Insecta; Hymenoptera; Formicidae.
GGCUUUAUCCAUUGAGCUCUUUUUUACUCUCGCUGAUCUAUCAUACACAUUCCUCGUCCAGCUUUUCCCCUCCCUUUUCCAGCCAUUCUGGUCCAAAGUCUCAAUCAUAGAAUUAACAUAAUUCUUGCUAUUCAUGCCUGAUAAAUACAUAUGACGAUAACGUAACGAUAUUAUUAACGCAAAAUAAGUGAGUACGACGAAAUAAUCAUUGUCAGGUGAUCGUUAAUUAUUUAUUUUUACGAGAGAUUGAAGUUGAUAACUAUUAUUUGGCUGACCACUGUGCGGAUCUUAUCGAAGUAUAAAUAUUGGAUUUGAUAUACGAAUAUUGGGAAAUUCUAAUAACAAUAUACAAAAAAUGGCAUUUCGUGAAUUAGUGGAAGGAGACUGUGGAGGUCCCAGCUCUUUAAUGCGCCUUGCAUCACAUUAUGUACAAGAUCAUGGUUUCAAGGAGGAAGGAAUUCAGCCUUUUAGGCCAUCCGAGACUUUUCAAACACAGGAUGCGGAUCAAUUAGUUCAACAAUUUUUAGAAGAGCCUGCCUGUCCACAGACAUUUCGUAUGGACAAUUUACUACAAGAAAUGAGAGAUAUCGAUCAAAAUAUCCAUCCUCCGAUAGCAGCACCUGGAGUCGUCAAAGAAUUAAGUGAUUUAGAUACAGCUUGGGAAAAUCUAUGUUUUAAGUCUGCUAAGCAAUUUGAAGAACAUCAUGUGGAUAAUAUAUGGAAUACACCUUUAAUGCAAUCCACUCAAGAAGAAAACACACAGUUUCUUGAAACUAGCAAACUUGGUCUAGAUUCAAAAUGGGUGGAAGAUUAUUUGGAACAUAACAUAAACAGUGUACAAGAUAAUAUUAACAAAAAUAAUGCACAAAUUAUAAAAGAUGAAGAUCCAAAUUAUGCAUAUUCAAGAUUUAUGAAAUUUAUGAAACAGGAAGGUGAUAUUCCAAUAGAAGCGCAAAGAGAAAUAGCCAACUUGGAUGAUGGAAUUGAAGAAUUAGAGCAAUAUUUUGUACAUAAACAAAAACCAGAAGAUAGUUCAAUUGAUAAUAUUAAUUAUGACGGUACAGUCUUAAACAAGGUAGAAGAAGAACUAGAAGCUGCGGGUACAUGGAUAGACGAAUUUGAAAAGGAAAAUCCAUCCUCAGAAUAUAAAUUAGAUUCAUUAUGGAAGCGGUUUCAAGAUGAAUGGGACAAAGUAUCUGCAGACGAGCUCUCUUCCACACAUCCAUGGGUAUCAGAAUUUGAUACAUAUUAUGAUCCAUUUAACAAAGAAUAUGAAUUUUGUGAAACAAAUCCUAUGAAGGAUUUACCAAAUGCACUAGCAGAAGGCAAGAAACGGUUAGAAGCAGGAGAUUUACCAAGUGCUGUACUCUGUUUUGAGGCAGCUGUUCAGCAGGAUGAAAAUAAUGUUGAAGCUUGGCUACUUCUUGGUAAAACACAAGCUGAGAAUGAACAGGAUCCUUUAGCUAUCUCUGCUUUGAAUCGUUGUUUGUGCUUGGAACCAUCUAACAGUGUUGCUCUUAUGGCAUUAGCAGCUUCUUAUGCAAAUGAGUCCUAUCAGAAACAAGCCUGUCUAACAUUGAAAGAGUGGUUACUAAAAAAUCAAAAAUAUAAGCAUCUAUCAAUUCCAGAGUCUAAUCUUACAAAAGACAAGCAACAGAAUUUCAGUGUGUCUACCUUAUUAUAUGAUAAAGUAUAUGAUGAAGUCAAAGAUUUAUAUAUUCAAGCAGCGAGAAUGAAUCCUCGAGAUGAAAUUGAUGCGGAUGUACAGUGUGGACUAGGUAUAUUGUUUAAUUUGUCAAGUGAUUAUAAUAAAGCUGUAGAUUGUUUCCAAGCAGCUUUACAAGUACGUCCUGAUAGAAGCAGGUGAACAUCUUUUGACAGCCUUAAAUCAACAAGCUGCAGGAAGAGGUCCACAGGCCAACACUGUAUCCCCUAAAGCAAUGUCAAACACAAUAUGGUCUACAUUAAGACUAGUUAUAUCAUUGAUGCAUAAAUAUGAAUUGAUGGAAGCUGUAGAAAACAGAGAUUUGUCUAAGUUAAAUAAGGAAUUUGAAAUCAUAUAAAUGGAUGCAAAUGAUUUAUCAAAUCAAACAAUCUGAAAAUGAAUUACACAAUAUGAUUCAUUUUUAUAUAAAUUAUUUUGUAGAGGUGAGAAAUGAAAAAAAUGUUUUUUCCAAUAUACGUUAGUAAAAUAUACAAUACAU